RNAcentral lists this ribosomal RNA (705 nucleotides) under uncultured Pseudomonadota bacterium. RNAcentral describes it as "bacterial SSU rRNA". It matches the Rfam family "Bacterial small subunit ribosomal RNA", at positions 49 to 799 of the family's 1533-position model. Lineage: Bacteria; Pseudomonadati; Pseudomonadota. The record is from RNAcentral.
UAACACAUGCAAGUCGAACGCAGUAGCAAUACUGAGUGGCAGACGGGUGAGUAACAUGUGGGAAUCUGCCUUGUGGUUCAGGACAACAUUGGGAAACCGAUGCUAAUACUGGAUAAGCCCUUACGGGGAAAGUUUUAAUGCCAUAAGAUGAGCCCGCAUUUGAUUAGUUAGUUGGUGAGGUAAUGGCUCACCAAGACAAUGAUCAAUAGCUGAUCUGAGAGGAUGAUCAGCCACACUGGGACUGAGACACGGCCCAGACUCCUACGGGAGGCAGCAGUGGGGAAUCUUGCACAAUGGAGGAAACUCUGAUGCAGCGAUGCCGCGUGAGUGAAGAAGGCCUUUGGGUUGUAAAGCUUUUUUGUAGGGGAAGAUAAUGACUGUACCCUAAGAAUAAGGUCCGGCUAACUUCGUGCCAGCAGCCGCGGUAAUACGAAGGGACCUAGCGUAGUUCGGAAUUACUGGGCGUAAAGCGCGCGUAGGCCGUUGAGUUAGUUAAUUGUGAAAUCCCAAAGCUUAACUUUGGAACUGCAAUUAAAACUGCUCGACUAGAGUUUGAUAGAGGAAAGCGGAAUACAUAGUGUAGAGGUGAAAUUCGUAGAUAUUAUGUAGAACACCAGUUGCGAAGGCGGCUUUCUGGAUCAACACUGACGCUGAGGCGCGAAAGUAUGGGUAGCAAAGAGGAUUAGAUACUUCUCGUAGUCCAUA